Molecule: transfer RNA, 75 nt
Filed under: Clostridiales bacterium
Lineage: Bacteria; Bacillati; Bacillota; Clostridia; Eubacteriales
Description: tRNA-Asn
Rfam family: tRNA
About the family: Transfer RNA (tRNA) molecules are approximately 80 nucleotides in length. Their secondary structure includes four short double-helical elements and three loops (D, anti-codon, and T loops). Further hydrogen bonds mediate the characteristic L-shaped molecular structure. tRNAs have two regions of fundamental functional importance: the anti-codon, which is responsible for specific mRNA codon recognition, and the 3' end, to which the tRNAs corresponding amino acid is attached (by aminoacyl-tRNA synthetases). tRNAs cope with the degeneracy of the genetic code in two manners: having more than one tRNA (with a specific anti-codon) for a particular amino acid; and 'wobble' base-pairing, i.e. permitting non-standard base-pairing at the 3rd anti-codon position.
Source: RNAcentral
UCCUCAGUAGCUCAAUGGCAGAGCACUCGGCUGUUAACCGAGUUGUUGCAAGUUCGAGUCUUGCCUGGGGAGCCA